CCGUGAACCUUUACUAUAGCUUGACACUGAACACUGGUCCUUGAUGUGCAGGAUAGGUGGGAGGCUUUGAAGCGCGGACGCCAGUUCGUGUGGAGCCAUCCUUGAAAUACCACCCUUUAAUGGCUGGUGUUCUAACGUAGACCCGUGAUCCGGGUUGCGGACAGUGUCUGGUGGGUAGUUUGACUGGGGCGGUCUCCUCCUAAAGAGUAACGGAGGAGCACGAAGGUUAGCUAAUCCUGGUCGGACAUCAGGAGGUUAGUGCAAAGGCAUAAGCUAGCUUGACUGCGAGCGUGACGGCGCGAGCAGGUGCGAAAGCAGGUC
This 321-nucleotide ribosomal RNA is filed under the name Salmonella enterica subsp. enterica serovar Goldcoast. RNAcentral describes it as "partial 23S ribosomal RNA". It matches the Rfam family "Bacterial large subunit ribosomal RNA", at positions 2091 to 2411 of the family's 2925-position model. Lineage: Bacteria; Pseudomonadati; Pseudomonadota; Gammaproteobacteria; Enterobacterales; Enterobacteriaceae. The record is from RNAcentral.